Molecule: ribosomal RNA, 565 nt
Filed under: Glomus chinense
Lineage: Eukaryota; Fungi; Glomeromycota; Glomeromycetes; Glomerales; Glomeraceae
Description: SSU rRNA
Rfam family: Eukaryotic small subunit ribosomal RNA
Source: RNAcentral
UUGGAGGGCAAGUCUGGUGCCAGCAGCCGCGGUAAUUCCAGCUCCAAUAGCGUAUAUUAAAGUUGUUGCAGUUAAAAAGCUCGUAGUUGAAUUUCGGGAUCAAUAUAUCGGUCGUGCCAUCGGUACGUACUGGUAUGAUUGGUUUCUCCUUUCUGACGAACCAUGAUGUCAUUAAUUUGGUGUUAUGGGAAGUUAGGACUGUUACUUUGAAAAAAUUAGAGUGUUUAAAGCAGGCUUUGGCUUGAAUACAUUAGCAUGGAAUAAUGAAAUAGGACGUUCGAACCUAUUUUGUUGGUUUCUAGGAUCAACGUAAUGAUUAAUAGGGAUAGUUGGGGGCAUUAGUAUUCAAUUGUCAGAGGUGAAAUUCUUGGAUUUAUUGAAGACUAACUACUGCGAAAGCAUUUGCCAAGGAUGUUUUCAUUAAUCAAGAACGAAAGUUAGGGGAUCGAAGACGAUCAGAUACCGUCGUAGUCUUAACCAUAAACUAUGCCGACUAGGGAUCGGAUGAUGUUAAUUUUUUAAUGACUCAUUCGGCGCCUUACGGGAAACCAAAGUGUUUGGGUUC